CUGCAGAAUAUUUGUGGCCUCUCUCAGAGCCUGGGAGACACACUUGACAUAGUGAGGACAGGUCACCUGUAUCAACCCUCCCCCAGAAUUAGGUUGCUAUUAGUUGACUCCAGGGAUAUCACUUACCUCUAUCUGAUGAGAUGAGCAAGUGGCCUUUAUGCAGCUGCCAUCACAUCACCCUGAAGGCUGAAGUUUAGCUCCAGAGACUAGCAGUGGAUGAAAAUGGAGAGAGAGAACUAAGGUGCUGGAGAAAAACGUGUGAACAAGGCAGACAUAGUCCCUGCCUUCAAGGAGAUUACAGUCUACUGAGGAAGGGAGAUAUUGGACAAACACAUACAAAAGAGAAAAACAGGUGCAAUGAAUGUGCAUGAUAAGGGGUCCUAACCUGGCCAGGGGAAUGAAGGAAGGCUUCCUAAAGGAUAAGAAGUUCAAGGUAAGA
Molecule: long non-coding RNA, 439 nt
Filed under: Homo sapiens (human)
Lineage: Eukaryota; Metazoa; Chordata; Mammalia; Primates; Hominidae
Description: HSALNT0228532
Source: RNAcentral